This 82-nucleotide transfer RNA is filed under the name Candidatus Sericytochromatia bacterium. RNAcentral describes it as "tRNA-Ser". It matches the Rfam family "tRNA". From Rfam's summary of the family: Transfer RNA (tRNA) molecules are approximately 80 nucleotides in length. Their secondary structure includes four short double-helical elements and three loops (D, anti-codon, and T loops). Lineage: Bacteria; Bacillati; Candidatus Sericytochromatia. The record is from RNAcentral.
GGAGGAUGUCCGGGUGGUGAGGAAGCCGCCUUGAAAGCGGUCGCUUGUUAAAGGGUUGCAGGUUCGAAUCCUGUGUCCUCCG